This 352-nucleotide unclassified non-coding RNA is filed under the name soil metagenome. RNAcentral describes it as "partial contains 5.8S ribosomal RNA, internal transcribed spacer 2, and large subunit ribosomal RNA". The stretch from base 1 to 120 matches the Rfam family "5.8S ribosomal RNA", at positions 35 to 154 of the family's 154-position model. The record is from RNAcentral.
GAUGAAGAACGUAACGAAAUGCGAUAAGUAAUGUGAAUUGCAGAAUUCAGUGAAUCAUCGAAUCUUUGAACGCACAUUGCGCCCGCCAGUAUUCUGGCGGGCAUGCCUGUUCGAGCGUCAUUUCAACCCUCAGGCCCCCAGUGCCUGGUGUUGGGGAUCGGCCCAGCCUUCCUGUAAGGCCGCCGGCCCCGAAAUCUAGUGGCGGUCUCGCUGUAGUCCUCCUCUGCGUAGUAGCACAACCUCGCAGUUGGAACGCGGCGGUGGCCAUGCCGUUAAACACCCCACUUCUGAAAGUUGACCUCGGAUCAGGUAGGAAUACCCGCUGAACUUAAGCAUAUCAAUAAGCGGAGGA